This 194-nucleotide unclassified non-coding RNA is filed under the name plant metagenome. RNAcentral's name for it is "partial contains small subunit ribosomal RNA, internal transcribed spacer 1, and 5.8S ribosomal RNA". The record is from RNAcentral.
UUUCCGUAGGUGAACCUGCGGAAGGAUCAUUACAGAGUUCAUGCCCGAAAGAGAAGACCUUGCACCCUUGUGUAGUCUUACCUUGUUGCCUUGGCGAGCGCAGGCUAGCCAGAGAAUACCAAAACUCUUUGUACGAAUGUUGUCUAACUACUAUAUAAUAGUUAAAACUUUCAACAACGGAUCUCUUGGUUCUG